Molecule: ribosomal RNA, 406 nt
Filed under: uncultured bacterium
Lineage: Bacteria
Description: partial 16S ribosomal RNA
Rfam family: Bacterial small subunit ribosomal RNA
Source: RNAcentral
AUUGAACGCUGGCGGCAGGCCUAACACAUGCAAGUCGAACGAGUGGCGGACGGGUGAGUAAUGUCUGGGAAACUGCCCGAUGGAGGGGGCUAACUACUGGAAACGGUAGCUACUACCGCCUACCAUCGGAUGUGCCCAGAUGGGAUUAGCUAGUAGGUGGGGUAACGGCUCACCUAGGCGACGAUCCCUAGCUGGUCUGAGAGGAUGACCAGCCACACUGGAACUGAGACACGGGCCAGACUCCUACGGGAGGCAGCAGUGGGGAAUAUUGCAAAAUGGGCGCAAGCCUGAUGCAGCCAUGCCGCGUGUAUGAAGAAGGCCUUCGGGUUGUAAAGUACUUUCAGCGGGGAGGCGUUACCCGCAGAAGAAGCACCGGCUAACUCCGUGCCAGCAGCCGCGGUAAUUC